RNAcentral lists this ribosomal RNA (460 nucleotides) under Aureobasidium sp. Its description in RNAcentral is "partial large subunit ribosomal RNA". It matches the Rfam family "Eukaryotic large subunit ribosomal RNA", at positions 182 to 655 of the family's 3401-position model. Lineage: Eukaryota; Fungi; Ascomycota; Dothideomycetes; Dothideales; Saccotheciaceae. The record is from RNAcentral.
UAAGUUCCUUGGAACAGGACGUCAUAGAGGGUGAGAAUCCCGUAUGUGACUGGACAGGCACCCUUUGUAAAGCUCCUUCGACGAGUCGAGUUGUUUGGGAAUGCAGCUCUAAAUGGGAGGUAAAUUUCUUCUAAAGCUAAAUACCGGCCAGAGACCGAUAGCGCACAAGUAGAGUGAUCGAAAGAUGAAAAGCACUUUGGAAAGAGAGUUAAAAAGCACGUGAAAUUGUUGAAAGGGAAGGGCUUGCAAUUAGACUUGCCCGCAGUUGUUCAGCUGGUCUUCUGACCGGUUUAUUCUUCUGCGGGCAGGCCAGCAUCAGUUUCGGCGGCCGGAUAAAGGCUCUGGGAAUGUGGCUGUCCUUCGGGGCAGUGUUAUAGCCCAGGGUGUAAUACGGCCAGCCGGGACUGAGGUCCGCGCUUCGGCUAGGAUGCUGGCGUAAUGAUUGUAAGCCGCCCGUCUU